Molecule: non-coding RNA, 24 nt
Filed under: Arabidopsis thaliana (thale cress)
Lineage: Eukaryota; Viridiplantae; Streptophyta; Magnoliopsida; Brassicales; Brassicaceae
Source: RNAcentral
AGAAUUGGUUACUGUUUUGAUUGC